UUUGCCCCGCUGGGACUCAGCAGCACCAGCAUCAUCGACCAUACUGGGACCAGCAGCCGCGGAGGGCGCUCGAGGCGGCUUUCGCGAGAGCUCCUCCAGACCCAGGCGCGAAGCUCGGGCUCUCUUUUACCAUAUUCGACCCGCUCCGCCCCUUCCGGCAGCGCCUCGCACCGCGUCGGGGUGAGCAGGUGCAAUCGACACCCGGCCUAGCGGCACAUUGGACACUUCCUGCGCUGCCUCAAUCGCCGGGAUUGCCUCUUUGACCUUGAACUAGUAUUCAUUUGGCCUCCUGUUUGGUCUCCAAUGCUCUCCUUCGUCAUCUCUGCUCGUCAAACGGGAGUGCAGUGGCAUAAUCACAGCUCACUGUAGCCUCGACCGUCUGGACUCAAGCAAUUCUCCUGCCUCAGUCUCCUGAGGAGCUGGAACUACAUACAGUUGAAAACAUUUCCGGUGCAGUGGCUGACUGUAAUGCCAGCACUUUGGGAGGCCGAGGCUGGAAGAUCACUUGAAGCCAGAAGCCAAGAGUUCAAGACCUGCCUGAGCAACAGGCGACACCCCGUCUCUAUUUAAAAAGAAAAAAAAAAAGUUUCCAAGGCACUGAGAUGCCAGGAA
Molecule: long non-coding RNA, 612 nt
Organism: Symphalangus syndactylus (siamang)
Lineage: Eukaryota; Metazoa; Chordata; Mammalia; Primates; Hylobatidae
Source: RefSeq, a predicted model, not a curated record